AUUGAACGCUGGCGGCAGGCCUAACACAUGCAAGUCGAGCGGAUGAAGGGAGCUUGCUCCUGGAUUCAGCGGCGGACGGGUGAGUAAUGCCUAGGAAUCUGCCUGGUAGUGGGGUAUAACGUCCGGAAACGGGCGCUAAUACCGCAUACGUCCUGAGGGAGAAAGUUGGGGAUCUUCGGACCUCACGCUAUCAGAUGAGCCUAGGUCGGAUUAGCUAGCUGGUGGGGUAAAGGCCUACCUAGGCGACGAUCCGUAACUGGUCUGAGAGGAUGAUCAGUCACCCUGGGACUGGGACACGGUCCAGACUCCUACGGGAGGCAGCCGUGGGGAAUAGUGGACAAUGGGUGAAAGCCUGAUCCAGACAUGCCGCGUGUGUAAAGAAGGUCUUCGGAUUGUAAAGCACUUUAAGUUGGGAGGAAGGGGAGUAAGUAAAUACCUUGCUGUUUUGACGUUACCAACAGAAUAAGCACCGGCUAACUUCGUUC
This 485-nucleotide ribosomal RNA is filed under the name uncultured bacterium. RNAcentral describes it as "partial 16S ribosomal RNA". It matches the Rfam family "Bacterial small subunit ribosomal RNA", at positions 30 to 508 of the family's 1533-position model. The record is from RNAcentral.